Microtus oregoni (creeping vole) is the source of this 287-nucleotide long non-coding RNA. RefSeq lists it as uncharacterized. NCBI's taxonomy places the organism in Eukaryota, Metazoa, Chordata, Mammalia, Rodentia, Cricetidae. The transcript is spliced from 4 exons. The record is from RefSeq and is a predicted model, not a curated record.
GCCGACUACGGCAAACUUACUGCAACCACAGAGGAGACCAGAGGACCGAAGACGAGCAGCCAGGUCAUCUGCUAGAAGACUCCACUCAAAAGUUUGAGAAAUGAAGACUUUUCUGUUAUUUGUGGUGUUAGGAACCCUUUCGCUAGUUUCCCACUGAUCAUAAACGCCCAUCUACUUUCGUGGCCCAAGGAAGAUAUCUGAGAAUGCCUUCUAGGAAGCAAAUAGGGAUUUGUCCAGCAUUUGGUGUUGACAGGUAUCUGUGCCACUAAUGUCAGCCUCCCACUGUG